RNAcentral lists this ribosomal RNA (494 nucleotides) under uncultured bacterium. RNAcentral's name for it is "partial 16S ribosomal RNA". It matches the Rfam family "Bacterial small subunit ribosomal RNA", at positions 28 to 507 of the family's 1533-position model. The record is from RNAcentral.
GACGAACGCUGGCGGCGUGCUUAACACAUGCAAGUCGAACGGUGAAGCGCCUUCCUUUUUGGUGGGUGUGGAUGAGUGGCGAACGGGUGAGUAACACGUGAGUAACCUGCCCCCUUCUUCUGGAUAACCGCAUGAAAGUGUGGCUAAUACGGGAUAUUCUGGGUCUGUCGCAUGAUGGGUCUGGGAAAGAUAUUGUUUCGGUGGGGGAUGGGCUCGCGGCCUAUCAGCUUGUUGGUGGGGUGAUGGCCUACCAAGGCGGUGACGGGUAGCCGGCCUGAGAGGGUGGACGGUCACACUGGGACUGAGACACGGCCAAGCCUCCGACGGGAGGCAGCAGGGGGGAAUAUUGCACAAUGGGCGCAAGCCUGAUGCAGCGACGCCGCGGGGGGGAUGGAGGCCUUCGGGUUGUGAACCUCUUUCGCCAGUGAAGCAGGCCUGCCUCGUUUGUGGGUGGGUUGACGGUAGCUGGAUAAGAAGCGCCGGCUAACUACGUG